This 222-nucleotide ribosomal RNA is filed under the name uncultured soil bacterium. Its description in RNAcentral is "partial 16S ribosomal RNA". It matches the Rfam family "Bacterial small subunit ribosomal RNA", at positions 26 to 250 of the family's 1533-position model. The record is from RNAcentral.
AGAUUGAACGCUGGCGGCAGGCCUAACACAUGCAAGUCGAGCGGUAGAGAGGUGCUUGCACCUCUUGAGAGCGGCGGACGGGUGAGUAAUGCCUAGGAAUCUGCCUAGUGGUGGGGGAUAACGUUCGGAAACGGACGCUAAUACCGCAUACGUCCUACGGGAGAAAGCGGGGGACCUUCGGGCCUCGCGCCAUUAGAUGAGCCUAGGUCGGAUUAGCUAGUU